This 486-nucleotide ribosomal RNA is filed under the name uncultured bacterium. RNAcentral's name for it is "partial 16S ribosomal RNA". It matches the Rfam family "Bacterial small subunit ribosomal RNA", at positions 30 to 507 of the family's 1533-position model. The record is from RNAcentral.
AUUGGACGCUGGCGGCAUGCCUUACACAUGCAAGUCGAACGGCAGCACGGGUGCUUGCACCUGGUGGCGAGUGGCGAACGGGUGAGUAAUACAUCGGAACAUGUCCUGUAGUGGGGGAUAGCCCGGCGAAAGCCGGAUUAAUACCGCAUACGAUCUACGGAUGAAAGCGGGGGACCUUCGGGCCUCGCGCUAUAGGGUUGGCCGAUGGCUGAUUAGCUAGUUGGUGGGGUGAAGGCCUACCAAGGCGACGAUCAGUAGCUGGUCUGAGAGGACGACCAGCCACACUGGGACUGAGACACGGCCCAGACUCCUACGGGAGGCAGCAGUGGGGAAUUUUGGACAAUGGGCGAAAGCCUGAUCCAGCAAUGCCGCGUGUGUGAAGAAGGCCUUCGGGUUGUAAAGCACUUUUGUCCGGAAAGAAAUCCUUGGCCCUAAUACGGUCGGGGGAUGACGGUACCGGAAGAAUAAGCACCGGCUAACUACGUG